GGGAGGGCGCUUACCACUUUGUGAUUCAUGACUGGGGUGAAGUCGUAACAAGGUAACCGUAGGGGAACCUGCGGUUGGAUCACCUCCUUACCUGAAAGAAGC
This 102-nucleotide ribosomal RNA is filed under the name Salmonella enterica subsp. enterica serovar Gallinarum. Its description in RNAcentral is "partial 16S ribosomal RNA". The stretch from base 1 to 90 matches the Rfam family "Bacterial small subunit ribosomal RNA", at positions 1444 to 1533 of the family's 1533-position model. The record is from RNAcentral. Lineage: Bacteria; Pseudomonadati; Pseudomonadota; Gammaproteobacteria; Enterobacterales; Enterobacteriaceae. RNAcentral also lists the same sequence under 1 other name.